This is a long non-coding RNA of Peromyscus eremicus (cactus mouse), 1209 nucleotides long. RefSeq lists it as uncharacterized. The record is from RefSeq and is a predicted model, not a curated record. The transcript is spliced from 3 exons. Lineage: Eukaryota; Metazoa; Chordata; Mammalia; Rodentia; Cricetidae.
GGCAAAUGUGUUGCUCUGAUUGGUUGGUAAAUAAAACACUGAUUGGCCAGUAGUCAGGCAGGAGGAAUUGUGGGCAGGACAAGGAGGAGAAUAAAGCUGAGAAGUGGAAGGCUGAGUCAGAGAGACACUGCCAGCCGCCACAAUGACAAACAGCAUGUGAAGAUGCCGUUUCAUCUGUAGGAACCUCAAUGUGAAGGUAUUUGAAGAUGGCAGCCUUGGAGAGGUACCUGGUCCUAAGAGCAGAGCUUCAUGAUGAAAUCCAUGCAUUUAUAAGAAAAAUCAGCAGCUGACUCCUCUUUCUCCCUUCUACAUGUGAGGCUGUCAAGAAGGCAGCUACCUGCAGCUACCUACACCCUGGAUCCUCCCCAGGGUUGAAUCUCCCUAGCCCUCCAAUAUACAGCCUGUGCUUGCUCCUGUUACAGAAGUUGAAUCUGGAAAACUAUUGAGGUUCUCAGAACCCAUUUCCUCAACUCACAGCCUCAACUUCACCGGGAACUUGGCCCACAUGUGAAGAUUGGCCUUCGUUCCAGGCUGAGUCUGAGCCCCUUCAGGCUUUGAAGACCACAGUGUUAGGCUGCCCCUGGCAAGCUUUACUUUGGGAAAAUCUGGGUCUGGUUUCUGGAGGGCAAAUCCGCAGCUACUAGUGUGCUUACUCUGCCCCUGCUAUGAUGACCAAACAGAGCUGCUGCCCCACUCCCCUUUAAAGGUCUGACCACUGCUUUGAUUUCAUGUCCCUCCUUUCCAUAAACUCCCAUCACCUGAAGCCACCUGACUAUAUCUCUGUUAGUUAGUGCUGUCUAACAGCAUAGGAUGAAAUUACAAACACUUUUCCAUGAUCUUCACCAUUUGAGUAACUUAAUGCAAGACUAAAAUAGUGGCUCAAGAGCUUAGAACAGCUCUUCACUCCCAGCUGUUGACUCUUCCCUCAAGGGCCACUAGGUGUCGAUCUAUGCUCUGUUUAUGUGACUUUCCUACGUUGGUGGAGUUUGGCUUCCUGUGAAACCAGACAAGAUGUUCUAAAGAAGCUAGUUUUGAGAACUAGCUAAACUUGUUUUGCUUGGUUUUUGUUUUGUUUUGUUUUUUUCUUAGUUGUCCUAAGGGAACUCUGGAUCAAGCCCAGUUGUCUGUGAAUAGGGUUCCAGUAGCUAACUACUGCUCAAAGGACAUUUGACUCUUUGCAAUAAAGCUCAAUAGAAUCAGUUAAACUUA